GCCCCCGUAGCUCAGGAGGAUAGAGCGGCGGUUUCCUAAACCGUAGGUCGCCCGUUCAAGUCGGGCCGGGGGUA
Molecule: transfer RNA, 74 nt
Filed under: Candidatus Zixiibacteriota bacterium
Lineage: Bacteria; Pseudomonadati; Candidatus Zixiibacteriota
Description: tRNA-Arg
Rfam family: tRNA
About the family: Transfer RNA (tRNA) molecules are approximately 80 nucleotides in length.
Source: RNAcentral